AUGGAUUCCAUCAUGACUAAUGGGACUUGGGAGCUUACUGCACGUCCAUAUGGUUGCAAAUCAUUGGGAUGCAAGUGGGUGUUCAAGAAGAAGCUUAGGCCUGACGGCUUUGUUGUUAAUGAGGCCGACAAAUGUGUAUACUAUCGCUAUGGUGGGGGCGAAGGAGUUAUACUGUGUUUGUAUGUUGAUGACAUACUGAUAUUUGGGACUAAUCUCAAGUUGAUCGAGGAGGUUAAGUCUUUCCUAUCUCAGAACUUUGAGAUGAAGGACCUUGGAGUGGCUGAUGUUAUCUUGAACAUCAAGCUACUGAGAGAUGAUGAGGGUGGGAUUACACUUCUGCAAUCCCAUUAUGUUGAGAAGGUGUUGAGUCGCUUUGGAUAUUCGGACUGUACUAUGAACUAUGGACUUCACUAUACCGGAUACCCGUCGGUACUUGAAGGGUAUAGUGAUGUGAAUUGGAUCUCUGAUGCUGAUGAGAUGAAGGCCACAACUGGGUAUAUGUUUACUCUUGGAGGUGGUAUUGUUUCCUGGAAGUCUUGCAAGCAAACGAUCUUAACAAGAUCGACAAUGGAAGCAGAAUUAACAACAUUAGAUACAUCGGGUGGCGAAGCGGAAUGGCUUCGAGAUCUGUUGAUGGACUUGACAGUGGUUGAGAAGCCGGUUCCGGCCAUCCUUAUGAACUGCGACAAUCAAACGGUUAUUGUCAAGGUGAAGAGUUCAAAGGACAACAUGAAAUAG
This 738-nucleotide ribosomal RNA is filed under the name Triticum aestivum (bread wheat). RNAcentral's name for it is "partial small subunit ribosomal RNA". Lineage: Eukaryota; Viridiplantae; Streptophyta; Magnoliopsida; Poales; Poaceae. The record is from RNAcentral.